Molecule: ribosomal RNA, 265 nt
Filed under: uncultured bacterium
Lineage: Bacteria
Description: partial 16S ribosomal RNA
Rfam family: Bacterial small subunit ribosomal RNA
Source: RNAcentral
UAAUGGCAGGUACAGAGGGAGUGCUACCGGGCGACCGGAUGCGGAUCUCGAAAGCCUGUCCCAGUUCGGACUGGAGUCUGCAACCCGACUCCACGAAGUUGGAUUCGCUAGUAAUCGCGCAUCAGCCAUGGCGCGGUGAAUACGUUCCCGGGCCUUGUACACACCGCCCGUCAAGCCAUGGGAGCCGGGGGCGCCUGAAGUCCGGGACCGCGAGGACCGGCCUAGGGCGAAACUGGUAACUGGGGCUAAGUCGUAACAAGGUAUC